ACCCUCCAGUUUCCUUACACCUCAGAUUUAAAUAUUAGUCUGAGUGACUAAAGAAAUGAGGAAGAGCAAAAUUGAAAUUGAUUUGCAGUCUUUAGUGACACAUAAGUUAAUUUCAAACAUAA
This 122-nucleotide small nucleolar RNA is filed under the name Echinops telfairi (small Madagascar hedgehog). RNAcentral's name for it is "Small nucleolar RNA SNORA61 (ENSETEG00000026271.1)". The record is from RNAcentral. Lineage: Eukaryota; Metazoa; Chordata; Mammalia; Afrosoricida; Tenrecidae.